RNAcentral lists this ribosomal RNA (468 nucleotides) under uncultured bacterium. RNAcentral's name for it is "partial 16S ribosomal RNA". It matches the Rfam family "Bacterial small subunit ribosomal RNA", at positions 28 to 507 of the family's 1533-position model. The record is from RNAcentral.
GACGAACGCUGGCGGCGUGCUUAACACAUGCAAGUCGAACGGAAAGGCCCUGCUUUUGUGGGGUGCUCGAGUGGCGAACGGGUGAGUAACACGUGAGUAACCUGCCCUUGACUUUGGGAUAACUUCAGGAAACUGGGGCUAAUACCGGAUAGGAGAUCCUGCUGCAUGGUGGGGGUUGGAACGUUUCGGCGGUUGGGGAUGGACUCGCGGCUUAUCAGCUUGUUGGUGGGGUAGUGGCUUACCAAGGCUUUGACGGGUAGCCGGCCUGAGAGGGUGACCGGCCACAAUGGGACUGAGAGACGGCCCAGACUCCUACGGAAGGCAGCAGUGGGGAAUAUUGCACAAUGGGCGGAAGCCUGAUGCAGCAACGCAGCGUGCGGGAUGACGGCCUUCGGGUUGUAAACCGCUUUCGCCUGUGACGAAGCGUGAGUGACGGUAAUGGGUAAAGAAGCACCGGCUAACUACGUG